This 655-nucleotide long non-coding RNA is filed under the name Homo sapiens (human). RNAcentral's name for it is "long intergenic non-protein coding RNA 2055". Lineage: Eukaryota; Metazoa; Chordata; Mammalia; Primates; Hominidae. The record is from RNAcentral.
CACACCUCCCCACAAGCUGAGGGAGCCGGCUGCGGCCUUCGCCAGCCCAGAAAGGGGCUCCUACAGUGCAGUGGCGGGCUGAAGGGCUGCUCAAGCGCCGCCAAAGUGGGAGCCCAGGCAGAGGAGGCGCCCAGAGCGAGCGAGGGCUGUGAGGACUGCCAGCACGCUGUCACCUCUCACUCAUAUAGAUUGCCAAUCUAUUUGUGAACCAGGUUUGCUGGAGUUUGGAUUUACUACUGAGUCAUAUUUGGAGCAUGCUGGAAUCUUACAACUGAGAUUACCGAGUCAGAAACUUGCAAACAUGAGUAACAUGGCCCUGCUCUGGAGACUACUGGGAACACAAACACAGUACCUCUUCUGCUGCAUGUUGAUUAUCUAUCCAGCCAUUUAAGACAUCUACCUGCUUCUCCUUUGCCUUCCAUCAUGACUGAAAGUUGUCUGAGGUCUCCCAGCCACGUGUCCUGUACAGCCUGUGGAACUAUGUAGAAAGGAAAAAGGGAGAGAAAUGGAGACAUUUAUUGAAUCCAGGCACCAUGCUGUGGAUUGCUAAAUACAGCUUCGUAAUUUGCAUCUAGUUAUCUGGUCUUCCAAGCUAGCUUUUUCAAGUAUUUUUACCUUUACACAUAAAGUUCUAUUGGAGAUGUACUUCACCCUU